CGAUCGUUACGAAAGGGCACAUGUGAGGAUGCCUUGGGAGUACUGGCCGAAGAAGGACGUGGAAGCCUGCGAUAAGCCUCGGGGAGCUGGCAAACAAGCUUUGAUCCGAGGAUUUCCGAAUGGGGAAACCUAAUGCCGUUCGACGGCAUUGCCCCGACCUUGUGUUGGGGCGGGUACCCGCUGAACUGAAACAUCUUAGUAAGCGGAGGAAAAGAAAUCAAUUGAGAUUCCGCAAGUAGUGGCGAGCGAAAGCGGAAAAGCCUAGGCUAUUUGAUGUAUGGAUUGGUUAGCAGAAGGAACCUGGAAAGGGCUGCCAUAGAGGGUGAAAGCCCCGUAUGCGAAAGCCAAUUUAUACUAUAGGAUAGUCCCCCCGCCGCAAGGCGGGGAGAAAGUAGGGCAGGACACGUGAAAUCCUGUCUGAAGAAGUCCCGACUUGUCGGGACAUAGGUGGAUCAUCAUCUAAGGCUAAAUACCAGUACUCACCGAUAGUGAACUAGUACCGUGAGGGAAAGGUGAAAAGUACCCCGCAACGGGGAGUGAAAUAGUACCUGAAACCAUGUGCCUACAAGGAGACGGAGCGUGCUUCGCUUUCGCUACGCAAAUGUAAAAUGCAAAAUGUAAAUCUCAAAAUUAUGGUAUCCGCUUUUAGCGGAUGAUUAUAAAACGUCCCGAAGGGACACAUAAAUUUUGACUUUUUACUUUUAAUUUUUGAUUUUGCGACGCGUGAGCGGAGCAUGUGACGUCGUGCCUUUUGGAGAAUGACCCAACGAGUUGCUUGGAUACGGCAAGCAGAAGACCUAUAAGGUAAUAUGCGCAGCGAAAGCGAGUCCUAAUCGGGCGUUUAGUCGUAUUCAGCAGACCCGAAACUGAGCGAUCCAUCCAUGAGCAGGCUGAAGCCCCGCGAAGGCGGGGUGGAGGGCCGAACCCACCAGAGUGGCAAAUCUGGGGGAUGACUUGUGGAUAGCGGUAAAAUGCCAAACGAGCUCAGAGAUAGCUGGUUCUCCCCGAAAUAUAUUUAGGUAUAGCCCGCGGUAAGAGGGAUUGGGGGUAGAGCACUGGAUGGAUAUCCGGGGAGCAAUCCUCGGUAUCCAAUCAAACUCCGAAUACCAAUUACCCGUUUCCGCG
RNAcentral lists this ribosomal RNA (1125 nucleotides) under Candidatus Berkelbacteria bacterium. RNAcentral describes it as "partial 23S ribosomal RNA". It matches the Rfam family "Bacterial large subunit ribosomal RNA", at positions 1 to 980 of the family's 2925-position model. Lineage: Bacteria; Candidatus Berkelbacteria. The record is from RNAcentral.